AAGAGCUUGGAUGCCGUGAAGCUCGGGAAGAUGAAGCCGAAUCGUGAACAACGCGGAAUGAAGUUAAUCUGGAAUGAGAGGAAGUCUUGGGAGUUCGGAAGAAGAAAAGAUGACCCGUGAGCUGGUGUGUUCUGUUUCCGAGAAGUCCGGGAAGAAGAAUCGGAAGCCAUGAAGUUGGGAUUUGAGGUUGAGCUGGGAGCGAAAGGAGUUGCUUUGAUUUGUGAUGACGAGGAGAUGGUUUAGGAUGCGAGAGAUCGCUUCCGGCUGAGAUGCGGCUGGGAGGAAGUUGUUCCGAAACAGGGGAAGAUGAAUCUGAUGAUGUUAGGAAUGAAUGGAAUCUGGGACGGCUGGAAGGAAAUCCGGAAUAAUGUUGGAUUCAGCUCUAUCUUGGAAGGAUAAGCUCGGGAAGCAUAGAAGCAGGGGAUAAGCUGGAGCUUUGAAUGCAGAAGGGAUAAGGAUGAGGUCCGUGGGUCUCGGCUGGGAAAUAAUCCAGAAGAUGGCUGGGACGUAGGAGAUGGAAUGAAGGGGAUUUGCAUGAUGACGUGGAAUGAAGAGAGGUUGAGCAUGGAUCUCGGCUGGGCGUGGAAGAAGUUGGGGAUCCGGUCGUGAAAGAAGGGAAUGUGGCGGACGGCCUGGAAGUCUUUGUUUGUUCGUGGGAUAUGGGAGAUCACAAGCGGUCCAUAUCCAUUCAGCUGGGAAGAAAUCUAGAACAACUUUGUUCUUUGGACAUGGGAGUU
Molecule: long non-coding RNA, 737 nt
Filed under: Phoenix dactylifera (date palm)
Lineage: Eukaryota; Viridiplantae; Streptophyta; Magnoliopsida; Arecales; Arecaceae
Description: long non-coding RNA (PDAC_LNC008429)
Source: RNAcentral